RNAcentral lists this transfer RNA (93 nucleotides) under bacterium. RNAcentral describes it as "tRNA-OTHER". It matches the Rfam family "tRNA". Rfam says of the family: Transfer RNA (tRNA) molecules are approximately 80 nucleotides in length. Their secondary structure includes four short double-helical elements and three loops (D, anti-codon, and T loops). The record is from RNAcentral.
GGGCCUGUAACAUAGCUUGGAUAGUGUGGAAGGCUUCGGGAUCUUCAAAGAUGAAGUAACCUUCAUACCUGGGUUCAAAUCCCAGCAGGCUCA